GUAGGGAAUAUUGGGCAAUGGAUGCAAGUCUGACCCAGCCAUCCCGCGUGCCGGAAGAAGGCCCUCAGGGUUGUAAACGGCUUUUGACGGUGAAGAAUCGACAGGAUGCGUCCUGUUUUGACGGUAGCCGUUGAAUAAGCACCGGCUAACUCCGUGCCAGCAGCCGCGGUAAUACGGAGGGUGCGAGCGUUUUCCGGAUUUAUUGGGUUUAAAGGGUGCGUAGGCUGGAAGGUCAGUCAGCGGUGAAAAGCUGUCGCUUAACGAUAGUCUUGCCGCAGAUACUUCCUUUCUUGGAUGAGGAGGAGGCCACUGGAACGGAUGGUGUAGCGGUGAAAUGCAUAGAUAUCAUCCAGAACACCGAUUGCGAAGGCAGGUGGCUGUACCUUAAUCGACGCUGAUGCACGAAAGCAUGGGGAGCAAACAGGAUUAGAAACCCGAGUAGUCC
RNAcentral lists this ribosomal RNA (445 nucleotides) under uncultured bacterium. RNAcentral's name for it is "partial 16S ribosomal RNA". It matches the Rfam family "Bacterial small subunit ribosomal RNA", at positions 354 to 796 of the family's 1533-position model. The record is from RNAcentral.